CAUCUGCAUAAGUCGCAGCUUAAUAUUACUGGGCGCUCUCUCUUUGGGCUUCAUGUAGAACAACUCAUUAUCAUUAUAGUAUUGUUUGCUAUAGCCAACUUUGCAGCAAUAUCGGCACUUUUUAGACUAUGACAUUUGCCUAAAGCUAAAGACUCUUAUAAUAUUGUACUUACAUUGCAGCUGUUCGAGUGGCUGGAGCCAUGCAACAGGAAGUGACCGCGAAGCGUGGAGAAUUGGACGCCUUACAAAACAAAAUCCAUUGGUUGACAGAAAGCCUAAAUACAGCUUCCAAGGACGCACGCUAUUACGAGAGG
Orbicella faveolata is the source of this 314-nucleotide long non-coding RNA. Lineage: Eukaryota; Metazoa; Cnidaria; Anthozoa; Scleractinia; Merulinidae. The record is from RefSeq and is a predicted model, not a curated record.